AUGAUGUGUAAAUUGUUUCCAAAUAAAGAUGACUCUCCUUGCACACCAUUAAUUGAAUUAACUAAUUAUUAUCCCACAUGAUUCCCUCCAGCUGAAAAGCAAACAAGUCCAUAGUGACUGAAGUCCACAAUUACUUCUCAUUGUUAUUUGGUCAAACGCCAUUCUGCUGAUAUUAUUAAUACAGCAGUUACAGCAAGUGUUUCUUUCUUUCUUAUUUUUUAAUUUAGAGUGCUCAAUUAUUUUAACCCCGUUUUGCUCUGAAUUUUGAAUGUCCAAUUGCACCUCCUCACCACAGCUAUUGUCACAGGUAGCUCAGGUAAGUGUAUAACACUGCUAGCCCCAAUGACUAACCCUUUCCUGUUGAGGUUCGUUUGGAAUUCCAGUGGACCACCCUUGACCCCAACCAGGAUGAACAGAGACAACAGCCAAGACUUCCAGUUCCCAUGAUGACCACGGACCGACUCCCCUCCGUCGACAACAUUGUGGUGACCCCAUUUGGUGAAGGGAGGAAAAGAGAAGAGGGACCAGUGCUCGAGUCCUGGUCAUGGACUCACGUCAACCUCUCUGUGUGCUCAUUGGAAAAGACAAUAACGGUCGAAAAAGUCCCCUGGGUCAACAUCGUCAAUACCUUUUAGAAUUUUGAAUGCUUGAAUCAGAUCAACACGUAGUUUUCUUUGUUCAAGACUGAAUAGAUUCAAUUAUUUUAGCCUGUCUGCAUACGACGUGCCUUUUAAACCCAGGAUAAUUCUGGUAGUUCUUCUUUGCACUCUUUCUAGAGCAGCAAUAUUCUUUUUGUAAAGAGGUGACCAGAACUGAACACACUAUUCUAGAUGAGGUCUUACUAAUGCAUUGUAAAGUUUUAACAUUACUUCCCUUGAUUUGAAAUUCAACACAUUUUAAUAUAUAUCCGAGCAUCUUGUUGGCCUUUUUUAUAGCUUCCCCACAUUGUCUAGAUGAAGACAUUUCUAAGUCAACAUAAACUCCUAGGUCUUUUUCAUAGGUUCCUUCUUCAAUUUCAGUAUCUCCCAUAUGAUAUUUAAAUUCAACACUUCUCACAAUAUAUCCGAGCAUCUUGUUGGCCUUUUUUAUAGCUUCCCCACAUUGUCUAGAUGAAGACAUUUCGGAGUCAACAUAGAUUAUUUGUCUAUUAUUUGUUCAAUCUAUCUGUUCUACUCCACCAAACUUUCAUUUGCCACUGCACCGCUGAUUGUAAUGUCUGAUAAAAAGCGUAGUGGGAUACUGUCCUACUUUUCUGUGACAAGAAGCUUGAAAACAACUGUGACAGGUAAGUUAAAUUUCCAUAUUUCCACAUAAGUGUACAAUACUGUAUUUAUUAACAAAUACAUAAAAACAUCAGGGGUGUAACUGUUACAGUAUGUACACUUCAGCAGUGUAUGGCAUGUGCAUGUUUGUUAGAAAAAUUCAUGAACACCUUUUAUUUUUAGUUAAUAUAUGUUUGAAACACUAGUCUUACCAUAUAUUAAAGUUAAGAAAAGUAUCAUUUAUUUUGGGUUCGUGACCACUGAUUUACUGUAUAUACGCAAUAUUUAGAAAUUACAAAAGCAAAUGUAAAAAAACAUAAAAUAUAAAUGUAUUUAACUUUUACUCAUUAUAUGCUGUCGAAAGAGGGAUAUGAUUUUUGUUUUUAUGCUAGUAUGUGCUGACCGUGAUUUACAGUUACAGUCGCUUCCACAUAUGCUUCAAGUUCAAGUUAUCUGCUUGUGCCGGGUCCGGGGUUUCGUGCCUAGUAAUUGUUGGUAGCUGCAUGCAGACAUCUGCCUAGCCAUGUUAGGCCUAUAUAAUCUUCAAUUUUGAAUAAUACCAGUUUUUUUUUUUAAUUCAAUAAAACGUUUUACGUUGUAUGACGAGAUAAGAUAGUAAAUGUGAAUUUAUUGAUAAGAAACAUAAGUUACAAAUUACAGUUGGAACCCUAGUUAGACAAGCUGUUAAGAAAGACGUGGUACUGUAUUAUCGCUUAUUUAAUUUCAAAUGUCAUAAACUAUGUUCGUUGUUGUUUUGGGGGAAGUAUCCACACAAAUGUAAGCGUAAAACUGUAGGACCAAC
Long non-coding RNA from Acipenser ruthenus (sterlet), 2064 nucleotides. RefSeq lists it as uncharacterized. NCBI's taxonomy places the organism in Eukaryota, Metazoa, Chordata, Actinopteri, Acipenseriformes, Acipenseridae. The record is from RefSeq and is a predicted model, not a curated record. The transcript is spliced from 3 exons.